GCAGUCGACGCUGAGCUGGGUGCUUGCACCUGGUGGAUGAGUGGCGAACGGGUGAGUAAUACGUGAGUGACCUUCCUUGGACUCUGGGAUAAGCCCGGGAAACUGGGUCUAAUACCGGAUACGACCAGUCCUCGCAUGGGGUGCUGGUGGAAAGGGUUUGUACUGGUUCUUGAUGGGCUCACGUCCUAUCAGCUUGUUGGUGAGGUAAUGGCUUACCAAGGCGACGACGGGUAGCCGGCCUGAGAGGGUGACCGGCCACACUGGGACUGAGACACGGCCCAGACUCCUACGGGAGGCAGCAGUGGGGAAUAUUGCACAAUGGGCGCAAGCCUGAUGCAGCGACGCCGCGUGGGGGAUGACGGCCUUCGGGUUGUAAACCUCUUUCAGCAGGGAAGAAGCGAAAGUGACGGUACCUGCAGAAGAAGCGCCGGCUAACUACGUGCCAGCAGCCGCGGUAAUACGUAGGGCGCAAGCGUUGUCCGGAAUUAUUGGGCGUAAAGAGCUCGUAGGCGGUUUGUCGCGUCUGCUGUGAAAGCCCGGGGCUCAACCCCGGGUGUGCAGUGGGUACGGGCAGGCUGGAGUGCAGUAGGGGAGACUGGAAUUCCUGGUGUAGCGGUGAAAUGCGCAGAUAUCAGGAGGAACACCGAUGGCGAAGGCAGGUCUCUGGGCUGUUACUGACGCUGAGGAGCGAAAGCAUGGGGAGCGAACAGGAUUAGAUACCCUGGUAGUCCAUGCCG
Molecule: ribosomal RNA, 737 nt
Filed under: Rothia koreensis
Lineage: Bacteria; Bacillati; Actinomycetota; Actinomycetes; Micrococcales; Micrococcaceae
Description: bacterial SSU rRNA
Rfam family: Bacterial small subunit ribosomal RNA
Source: RNAcentral